This is a non-coding RNA of Cyanistes caeruleus (blue tit), 348 nucleotides long. NCBI's taxonomy places the organism in Eukaryota, Metazoa, Chordata, Aves, Passeriformes, Paridae. The record is from RefSeq and is a predicted model, not a curated record.
UCUAGCUGGAAAUCACAUCAUUAGGGAUGCUCCUCGAGAUGUUUUGCUCUCCAUUAACUGAAGGUAUUAUCACCACCAAGUUCUAAUUUGGUUUUAUUUUCCAGGGUGAAGUCUACCUCUGAGGGACGCCUCCUCCACCGUGCAAAAGCCCAGGUCACGUUACCUCCAUCUGUGGAAGAAACGGAGCCGCUCCAGAAGCUUUACGAUCUCCUGGAAGCCAAGGGGUUUCAGACACGGCUGGAAGGACUGGCAUUCCUUCUCGAGCUGUGCCAAACUCGCCCCCAGCUCAUCUCCACUAACAUUGUCCAAAUUUUUGAUUAUUUUGUCCUGAGAAUAUCUGACAGCCAC